RNAcentral lists this long non-coding RNA (912 nucleotides) under Mytilus galloprovincialis (Mediterranean mussel). Lineage: Eukaryota; Metazoa; Mollusca; Bivalvia; Mytilida; Mytilidae. The record is from RNAcentral.
GUCCCGAAAUCGAAAUGACACAUGCAUGUAAAACAAUUCGAACAAGAAAACCAACGGCCUGAUUUAUGUAGAAAUCAAAAACAAUAAACGAGAAACAAAUAGGAUAAACAAAAGACAACGACUGAAAAAAGAAAAACUAUAAAAUCAGCUGAAAAGGGCUUUGACAUGCCGUUUUUCUCCAAUAUCGACUUGCUACAUAUAGUUUUCUUUGUUCGUGCUGUGUAGACACUAUAGGGAAAAUAACACGUGUAACUGGUUUUAUCUGCUUCAUUUUGGUACUGGUGGAUAGUAAGGCAGUUACAUGUACCAUGUCAUAGUUGCAGCACGAACGUGAACCCUAGAAAUCUUUUGCAUUCGUUAGUUUAAAGGAAUCCAAAGAGUAUGAAUUGGUAUAUAAAAAGAUUGUACUUCUGAACUCGUCUUUGGACAUACCGCUAUCUCAAUGUAUUCAUAUAAUUAUCUGCAUUAAACUUUAAAUAUAGUUGCAGCCACCUGUCUUUACUAAAGAUGUUUGUAGUGGUUUAAGUUUGCAAUUCUACAUGAUCAAGUUAUAAGAUUUCAAACUAGGGAUAAUUGGAAAUAUGUUAUACUACUAAAUAAUCUGAAUUGAACGGUCACAGUUCUGAGAAACUGUUUAACAAAGUAUAUGUAAUGGCGCAAGUCAACUGAAGCCGGUACGUGCCAUUGGGGAAUUGUUUUUCCUUUAAAUUUUAACUCGUUAUAGCAAGUUACCUAAUUCGUUAUAACGACUUACAUGUAGCUAACUCGUCAUAGCGACGUAGUAACUCGUUUGAACGACUUAGCCUAACCUGUUUUAAUGAUUUAGUAAUUACCUUAUCGAACUAAAUUUGAGUAAAAAUAACGUGGAUUUCAGCAACUAUAUAUCAACGUAUACGGUCUUCAAGAAUGAGC